RNAcentral lists this ribosomal RNA (604 nucleotides) under fungal sp. CZ-2011h. Its description in RNAcentral is "eukaryotic LSU rRNA". The stretch from base 149 to 302 matches the Rfam family "5.8S ribosomal RNA". Lineage: Eukaryota; Fungi. The record is from RNAcentral.
ACAACUUUUCUUAUCCAUACACCUGUGCACAUCUUGAAGGGGGAAGACCGGCGAUAAUGUAGCCAUUUUUCCUCUUUCAUACUUUGUAACAAACCCUUUACUAUAACAUUGAACAAUAAAUGUGCCGAAAGGCCUUUUAAACAAAUACAACUUUUAACAACGGAUCUCUUGGCUCUCGCAUCGAUGAAGAACGCAGCGAAUUGCGAUAAGUAAUGUGAAUUGCAGAAUUCAGUGAAUCAUCGAAUCUUUGAACGCACCUUGCGCUCCCUGGCAUUCCGGGGAGCACGCCUGUUCGAGUAUCGUGAAAUCCUCAAGCCAGACAGGCUUUGUUGACUGUCUUGGUUUGGAUGUGGACUCUGCCGUUGGUGCAAACCGACGGCUGGUCUUAAAUGUGUUAGCUGAAUCUUGGUUCAAAAGGGUUCUACUCGGCGUGAUAAUUAUCUUAUCGCUGAGGACAUUUUCUUCGGGAAAUGGCCCGUUCUUGACCUCGAGUCGCUUCUAAUCUGCUGGUGAAAUCUGGGACUUUACCGUCUCGGGUUUUCCGCAACCUUUCAAUCUUUGAUCUCGAAUCAGGUGGGACUACCCGCUGAACUUAAGCAUAUCA